CUGACUGGUGGGAGUGACAGGCCUCCUCAUCCUGUGAAGGGGCCCCCAGCAGGCUGCUGCUUUCCCCUCAGGUUCUCAUUUCAGGCACUGACUCCCAUAAACAGAGCUGUCCUGGGGGCUGAAUUCCGGCCUACCGACUUUUGGCUUGCACAAUGUUUAAUUAGUUGUCAGAAUUUAAAUAUUAGGAGAUUUUACAGCUUCUCAAACAAACAAAACAAACAAGCAAGCAAACGAGUGAAAAACCCCGCAAAAUUCAACAAUCCCAGGCUGGGGCACAUUAUACCCCCUGGCCUGCACUGAUGGGCUAUUUCCUGCCUGGUUCCUGUAGUGUCUCUGGAAGUUUAAUGCUUUGGCACCCAGGUCACAUCUCCCAGGUCCCUCUCCCCCCCAUGCCUCUCCACACGCCUGUGCUGAGCACCUCCUCUGUGCCAGCUCUGGGUUUGGUGGUCCAGAGCCAGAGGGGCCCUCGAGAGGGGCCACGGACAAUUUAUAGCUUGUGUGGCUGUGGACAUGUGUCUUUUUGGCCCUCUUGGUCUUCUGAUAAGGACCACCCCCCCAUUUCCUUUUGGGGGACUGACUCUCCCCCAUCCUUCGGCCCUACAGUUGAAGUGGGCCUGACCGUUCCCUGGCUCCUAGUGGGCACCUGGCUGCCAGGAGAGGCUGUGGUGAAUGGUUGAGGGGUGCUCAUAGGGUCCAGCCGAAUCAAUCAGAACCACCAUGCAGCUUCUGGACCACCUGAGAACGAGAAGUGUCUUUCUGCAGGUUUUACCGAGCUGGUGGAAUGGGGCCUGGGGAGCGGCUGACGCCCCUUUGGAAGAGCUCUCUGACAUGGAGCCCCCAGGGGGCAGCAGAGCUGAGAGCCAGAUCUUCUCUGUGCUUGGUGUCUCCUUGCUGUCACCUCCCCAGAGGCCAUCCCUGCCCACUCCAGAUGGUGAAACUGAGGCCUAAGGAGGGGAAAAGACCAGGCCAGUCCCCUGAUUCCUGUUCCGGUGUGGGAUCUGGAGCCCAGCUGAGGACCAGUCUGGUUUCUGCUAGGGUGAAGUCCUUCUGCCCACAGGGUACACUCUCUGUCACAUGACCCUGCUGCCCUGGCCAUGGGGUCUGGGUUGGACUUGCUGCCUGCUGCUAGAGGGGCCACACGAGGCUGAGCCCCUUGUCCACCACCACCUGCCCCGGCAGCUUCUCAUCCAUGGUCACCGGUGAGCGCUGGAGGAGCCGAUCAGUGAAAACGGUCCUUGGCCAGGGACUGCUUAGCCAUCUCAAGCAUGGAACCGGAUCUACCGGUUUAAUAAAAGUUAUUUGGAAAUUUAAUGCAAGUCCAAUAUUGAAUAUCAUCUUUAAAUACUUUGCACUUUAUUCUUCUUGUCAUACUUUGCACUAUGAAAGCAGUAUCAUGCUGUUUUCACCCUGCCUCAUGUGGACGUCCCCUCCUGCCCUUCCUGCUCAGGCUUUUCUAGGGGGACAGUGGUGUGAAAAAGGUUGGGUUGUGCAGCCUGGGGAUGCAUGGAGUUCCUGCAUUUGUCAUGUUCUUCCCCUCCCUCCUGUAGUUAAUUCCUAUGCAUCCUUCAGCCUCUGCUCAGCCGCCAGCCUCCCUUGACCAGUAAGGUCAGUGCCCCUGCUACGUGUACUCCACGAGAGCUGUUGUUGAACAGACAUGAAUACAGAUCUUACUGUAAGGUACUUUACAGACCAUAGCUCAUUCAAGUCUCCCAACGGAUGAAUAGGGCAGGACUAUUACUGUCCCUCUUUUAUAGAUGAGAAGACUGAGGCCCACAGGCGUUUAGUGACUUGGCCAAGCUCAUCCAUCUGGGAAGUGGUAGAGUGGAGAUUCCAACCCAGACAGCGUGGCUCCAGGUCCACGCUCUUAGUCAUCAUAUAAUGUUGCCUUGUGGUACUUCCUGCACCACAUUUGGUAAAGCUAUAUUUAGUUCUGGUAUUAGUAGACUAGUGUGACCUCUGGUCACAAGGCCUGGCCCUGGGUAGGUGCUCAAAAUAUAUUGGUUAAAUAAAUGAAUGAAUAAAAACAAUCAUUCUCCCUUUGCCUGAUGAAAAUAUCCACCCCACUCCAAGUUCCCCUUUCAAGGAAUAAAGGGAGCCCUGGUGGUGCAGUAGUUAAGCAUUCGGCUGCUAAGUGAAAGGUAGGUGGUUUGAACCCACCAGCCUCUCUGUAGGAGAAGGAUGUGGCAGUCUGCCUCCGUAAAGAUAAUAGCCUUGGAAACCCCAUGGGGAAGUUCUAUCCUGUUCUAUAGGUUUGCUAUGAGUUGGAAUCGACUCGACAGCAAUGGGGUUUUUGGUUUAAGGCUAGUGGUUUAAGCUCUAGACCAGGCCCACUGCCCAGGACACUGAUGGAUGAUGGGUGCUCAGAGAGCAGAAGUCAGUCUCCCGGGCCGGCUAGAAGACAGGGAGGCCAAUUCUGCCUGAAGGAGCCAGAGAAGGCUUCCCUGAGGAUGUGACAUUGGGAUAGUUCUGAAGGAUGAGUAGAAGUUCACUGAAGCACAGAAAUCCAGACUGAUGGGAUCUGGGGUUGGAAGUAUCACUGUGGUGAAGGCUCUGCCUCAGCUUCGAACAGCUCCCCAUUCCUUCAGGUUGGGAGAGGCAAAGCAGAAAAAUAGGAACAGCAACUGGGAAAUGUACAGAUGACCGUGUACCAGGAAAACAGUCUAAUGUUUUCAGUUGUCCCUUCUGACAAACCAUUUUGUGAUUUUUAAAGGAAAGCAAGCCAAGCCUUGUUCCCUUGGACUGCUGUCACUUGAAAUGGAUUCUUUGGCCCCCAGUUCCCCUCCCCUCCUUGGGCAGAAAGCCUGUUCAGUUUCUGGGCAUCUACUUUGAAUCAGCAGCUGUCCUAGGGAUGAGGCAACCCAUCAUAGCUUCUGGUUGCUGACAGGUGAGCAGAAAUGGGCAGAGGCAGAUGUAUGGAAGGAGUGGAGGAUUGAAGUGGUCCAGGAAGGGCUGAGAGUGAAAGUCCACUUAGACAGUGAGCCAGUAUACAGGAGUAGGCCAUGAGCUGGGGGCAGGGGAUGGACACUGUGGCAGAUGUGGUCUCUGCCCUGAGAAACUUCUGCCCUUUGAGGGCAUGGGGAGCAGGCUCAGCUCCAGAAGAGGUGCUGGCAGAGCUGGGGCAAAGAUAGGGCAAGAUGGACCAGCUCAACCCAUGUGGGUCAGGUGGGAUAGACUCCAACUCCUGAGUCCAGAGCUGGCCUGAGACUCUGGCUAGCCAGCAACAGCACUGUGGUCCCUUGGAUGUAGUGACUGGUUCAGGGUGGGCAUGUGGCUGUGGCCAAUCCACUGGAGGGAAUCCCAAGCUGUUGUCAGAGCUGCAGGAAGAAGAGGUGCUGGACCCUAAUGAGACACUGGAGGCUGGAGCUGGUUGCGGGCUGUCUCUGCCAACAUGUGGGAGCACCGACCUGAGGGAAGUGACUUAGGAAAGCAAGGUCACAAGACAGACUCUGAAGGGCCUUCCUUGUACACCUGCACCCAGAGGGCCUGAGGCUCUGGAUGGAUGCCCCUGCUGGUAAGCCAGGCUGGGCUGAGUGUCCGGACAAGGUGAUGAAAGGAUGGGGCAGAGGGAAGCCGGUGCAGCCCAGGAACCAGUGAGUUUCACCGAGAGGAGGAGAACUGGAAUGCUCCAGUGUUUUCCUAGUUACUAAGCAGAUGAAGGACAGCUCUUGUGGUUUUAGAGAUGAGGGUGAGAGAAGGGACACACACCCAUUUGUGCCAAGCCAGACAACAGAUUUGCACAGGUACCUGCAUGAAUCUACAGACCACACACACACCAGAAACACACACACAUGCACAAUACACACGUUUUGAAAGAUUUAAAAAUGUGCCCCCAAAACA
Long non-coding RNA from Loxodonta africana (African savanna elephant), 3837 nucleotides. RefSeq lists it as uncharacterized. Lineage: Eukaryota; Metazoa; Chordata; Mammalia; Proboscidea; Elephantidae. The transcript has 4 exons. The record is from RefSeq and is a predicted model, not a curated record.